This 254-nucleotide ribosomal RNA is filed under the name uncultured bacterium. Its description in RNAcentral is "partial 16S ribosomal RNA". It matches the Rfam family "Bacterial small subunit ribosomal RNA", at positions 524 to 776 of the family's 1533-position model. The record is from RNAcentral.
UACGUAGGGUCCAAGCGUUGUCCGGAUUUAUUGGGCGUAAAGAGCUCGUAGGCGGCUUAGUAAGUCGGAUGUGAAAACUCGGGGCUCAACCCCGAGACGCCAUCCGAUACUGCUGUGGCUUGAGUCUGGUAGGGGAACACGGAAUUCCUGGUGUAGCGGUGAAAUGCGCAGAUAUCAGGAGGAACACCGGUGGCGAAGGCGGGUCUCUGGGCCGAUACUGACGCUGAGGAGCGAAAGCGUGGGGAGCGAACAGG